GUUUCCGUAGGUGAACCUGCGGAAGGAUCAUUACCGAGUGAGGGCCCUCUGGGUCCAACCUCCCACCCGUGUCUAUCGUACCUUGUUGCUUCGGCGGGCCCGCCGUUUCGACGGCCGCCGGGGAGGCCUUGCGCCCCCGGGCCCGCGCCCGCCGAAGACCCCAACAUGAACGCUGUUCUGAAAGUAUGCAGUCUGAGUUGAUUAUCGUAAUCAGUUAAAACUUUCAACAACGGAUCUCUUGGUUCCGGCAUCGAUGAAGAACGCAGCGAAAUGCGAUAAGUAAUGUGAAUUGCAGAAUUCAGUGAAUCAUCGAGUCUUUGAACGCACAUUGCGCCCCCUGGUAUUCCGGGGGGCAUGCCUGUCCGAGCGUCAUUGCUGCCCUCAAGCACGGCUUGUGUGUUGGGCCCCCGUCCCCCUCUCCCGGGGGACGGGCCCGAAAGGCAGCGGCGGCACCGCGUCCGGUCCUCGAGCGUAUGGGGCUUUGUCACCUGCUCUGUAGGCCCGGCCGGCGCCAGCCGACACCCAACUUUAUUUUUCUAAGGUUGACCUCGGAUCAGGUAGGGAUACCCGCUGAACUUAAGCAUAUCAAUAA
Molecule: ribosomal RNA, 592 nt
Filed under: Aspergillus fumigatus
Lineage: Eukaryota; Fungi; Ascomycota; Eurotiomycetes; Eurotiales; Aspergillaceae
Description: eukaryotic LSU rRNA
Rfam family: 5.8S ribosomal RNA (bases 219-372)
Source: RNAcentral